This is a non-coding RNA of Callorhinus ursinus (northern fur seal), 444 nucleotides long. NCBI's taxonomy places the organism in Eukaryota, Metazoa, Chordata, Mammalia, Carnivora, Otariidae. The record is from RefSeq and is a predicted model, not a curated record.
UGGUUAAGCGUCUGCCUUCGGCUCAGACAGCCAUGCUACCAAUCUUGCUCCCCAAGAGGUAUUCAGCAUGAGGUGUGCUGGAUAGGACGCUGCCUGUACUCUGGGGCAGGGGGAGCUCCUGUGUCUCCCUCUGUUUCCAGAACAAGCAUGGGAGGUGCCAAUUAUCUCCCCUUUGGAACACCAAAGGAAGACACACCACAGUGACACAAAGUGACCUGGGGAGGGAGAACCACCAGAGAAAGGAAAGGAGAAGACAUCACAGGACCUUGUUUUCUCUAAUCCACGCAAUGGAAAGAUAAACAGAGAUAAGGUAUGACAACAAUCUAUAUUUUGUAAAGUAAUAAUAUGCUUCAACUAAUCAGAGUCACGCAGCAGAGAGGGACAACAGUGCCAGCUUUAAUUAAAUUUGUUCAGCUAAUACCCAAGAGUCACCAUGACACAGUG